RNAcentral lists this ribosomal RNA (526 nucleotides) under Salmonella enterica subsp. enterica serovar Poona. RNAcentral describes it as "bacterial SSU rRNA". It matches the Rfam family "Bacterial small subunit ribosomal RNA", at positions 1019 to 1533 of the family's 1533-position model. Lineage: Bacteria; Pseudomonadati; Pseudomonadota; Gammaproteobacteria; Enterobacterales; Enterobacteriaceae. The record is from RNAcentral.
UUCGGGAACUGUGAGACAGGUGCUGCAUGGCUGUCGUCAGCUCGUGUUGUGAAAUGUUGGGUUAAGUCCCGCAACGAGCGCAACCCUUAUCCUUUGUUGCCAGCGGUCCGGCCGGGAACUCAAAGGAGACUGCCAGUGAUAAACUGGAGGAAGGUGGGGAUGACGUCAAGUCAUCAUGGCCCUUACGACCAGGGCUACACACGUGCUACAAUGGCGCAUACAAAGAGAAGCGACCUCGCGAGAGCAAGCGGACCUCAUAAAGUGCGUCGUAGUCCGGAUUGGAGUCUGCAACUCGACUCCAUGAAGUCGGAAUCGCUAGUAAUCGUGGAUCAGAAUGCCACGGUGAAUACGUUCCCGGGCCUUGUACACACCGCCCGUCACACCAUGGGAGUGGGUUGCAAAAGAAGUAGGUAGCUUAACCUUCGGGAGGGCGCUUACCACUUUGUGAUUCAUGACUGGGGUGAAGUCGUAACAAGGUAACCGUAGGGGAACCUGCGGUUGGAUCACCUCCUUACCUUAAAGAAGC